RNAcentral lists this long non-coding RNA (5850 nucleotides) under Brassica rapa (field mustard). Its description in RNAcentral is "long non-coding RNA (BRAP_LNC007105)". The record is from RNAcentral. Lineage: Eukaryota; Viridiplantae; Streptophyta; Magnoliopsida; Brassicales; Brassicaceae.
GUUUGAGAUGUGUUAGCAAAUGAGCAUUCAUCUAGACAUAGAGCUUGCUUAGAAUUGUGUCUAGGCUUAAGGUUGAUAGUUUGAUUGAUCAUUUGCCAUCCUUAGUUCGAUACUUGAUCACCCAAGGUCUAAUCCCUAUGCCCAUGAAUUCUCUUUUCCCUUAGUCAAGAAAGUAUCAUUCUGUUAUUGCUUUUUAGUUUUAGUCAUAGCUUAAAACCCAUCUAAAUCAUUGGUUGCACUUAGAUUAAGUGAGUACUUGCAUUCUCAGUGCUUUGAUAUCCCUCAGAACUGGUUCGACAAUCUUCUAUACUACAACAUUUGUCUUAGGAGCCUUGAAAACUCCUAACAUCAAAUUGGCGCCGUUGCCAAAUUCUGAGUAGAUUUAAACAUUGAGAUUUAGUCACUUGCUUGAGACUAAGUCAUUUUUAUUUUCUUUUGUUAUUGAUUCUCUUUCUUCACCUCCCUUUAAUCUACAGGUGUAUGAACUUGAGGAGCAGGGGUCCAUCAAACCUAGUUCCAAGAGCUGCAGACAUCAGAGCUUUAGAGAGAGAGUGUGCUAGAAAGAGAAGAGAAGAAGAGCAACAGGCUCACUUGCAGAGAUUGGAUACUGAUAUGGGAGACAUACCUCAAAACCAACAGCGAGCAGCUCGACCCAUUGGCACUUACGACCGCCCCAACAUUCAUGGUCAUAGAUUGGGAAUCCGAGCACCCGCUGUGGCAGCCAACAACUUUGAGAUCAAAUCAGGACUCCUCAACGUGAUCGAGAACAACAAGUAUCAUGGCUUGGCUCUAGAGGAUCCAUUUGAUCACUUGGACAGGUUGACAGCUACUGUGGGUUGUCAAAAACCAAUGGUGUGUCCGAAGAUGCCUUAAAGCUCAAGCUAUUCCCUUUCUCUUUGGGGGAUAAGGCACGUCAGUGGGAGAAGUCUCUACCCAGCGACUCCAUCACCACUUGGGAUGACUGCAAGAAAGCAUUCUUGGAGAAGUUCUUCUCUACUUCAAGAACUGCUAAGCUGAGAAACGAGAUUUCCAGCUUUCAACAGAAGAACUUGGAAGGCUUCAGUGAAGCCUGGGAGAGAUUCAAGGGCUACCAAGCUCAAUGCCCACACCAUGGCUUUCUAAGGAGAGCUUGCUGAGCACAUUCUACCGUGGUGCUCUUCCUAAGUACAGAGCCAGACUGGAUACAGCUAGCAAUGGGUUCUUCUUGGGGAGAACUGAGGAGGAUGCAGAAGAGCUGGUUGACAACAUGGUAAAGAGUGAUGCAGUCUACAGUGGAGACCACGACAGAGGCAGUAGAACAGAUGAUAAGCAGACGAGGAAAGAGAUCAAAGCUUUGGAAGACAAGAUCGACCUACUCAUUGCUGAAAAAGCCACCCAAGAGCAGCUGAAGUUUGUUGGUAACUCCAAGCAGGAAGAUCCACUUGCUGUCAAUGAGGUUGAGGGUUUGGAAGGUCAAGGAGUUGUGUUUCAUUAACAACAAUGGUAGCUGGUACAAAAAGGAGCCCAACUUUCAGUACAACAACUACCAACAGAAAUCCUAUCCAAACAACCAACAGAGUGGCUAUCCGCCAAGAAACAACCAGCAAGGCAGCUAUCAGCCUCAGCAAAACCCCUCGUCUGGUUCCUCUGCUCCUCAAGAGAGCAGCACUGAUACCUUACUGAAACAAAUCUUGGAGUCUCAGACUAGAAGUGAGAAGCAUGUUGGUUAUGAGUUGAAGAACCUUCAUUACCAAGAUUGAUGGGAGCUACAAUGAGCUCAACAACAAAUUCUCACACCUUGCUUCUACAGUCAGGAAUUUAGAGAAUCAGUUUGCUUCCAUGAACACUCACCAGAAUCGCCAGCAAGGAUCUCUACCUGGAAAGUCUGACCAAAACCCAAGGAGGCCAAAGCUAUCACCCUUAGGAGUGGUAAGCAGUUACCUCCUAGAACCCUCACCAAGGAUGCUGAGAAACUAGGUGAGGGGGUUGCCAUCAACAUAGAUGAUGAAGUGGUGAUUGUUGAUGAGAAGAUCAAUGACGAGAUCUUGGAGAAGAUAGUGGAAGCCAAAGGUAAAGGAAAGGUUGGGAAGAGAAGAAGACAGUAAAGGAUGGUGAAGUUGUUACUCCAGCAAGUGAAAGUUCUUUUGUUCCUCCUCCCUAUGAACCCAAACUUCCAUUCCCUGGUAGAUUCAAGAAGCAGCUGCUAGAGAAGUACAAGGCUCUGUUUGAGAAGCAAAUGAGUGAAGCUCAGGUUGCAAUGCCCAUCAUCGAUGCUUUCAUGUUGAUUCCUCAAUACAACAAGUUCCUGAAAGAUGUUGUAGCUGCAAAGAAGAAGGAGAUGGAAGGCAUGAUGAUUCUUACCCAUGAGUGCAAUGCCAUCAUCCAGAGGCUUGAUGUUCCAGAGAAAUUAGAGGAUCCAGGAAGCUUCACACUACCUUGUGCUCUUGGACCUAUGGUAUUUGAGAAAAGUCUCUGCGAUUUGGGAGCUAGUGUCAGCUUGAUGCCUUUGUCUGUUGCAAAGAAGCUUGGAUUCACUCAGUACAAGAAGUGUAGACUCUCUCUGGUGUUAGCUGAUCGUUCAGUGAAGUAUCCUGUGGGCAUCUUAGAGGACCUCCCUGUGAAGAUUGGAAGGUAUGAGAUACCUACAGAUUUUGUGGUGCUUGAGAUGGGUGAGGAGGCUCAAGACCCAUUGAUUCUAGGAAGGCCAUUCUUAGCUACAGCAGGAGCUAUUGUUAAUGUGAAGGAAGGCACGAUUGAUCUCCAUUUGGGUAAAGAGAACAUCCUCCACUUUGACAUCAAAGGGAAAAUGAGGAAACCAACUGUGUUCGGGCAAGCCUUCUACAUUGAAGAGAUGGCCACUCCUGCUGAUGAGCACCUUGAAGAGUUACCACCUGAAGACGAUGAGGAGGGAGCAUCUCCCUCUACUCAUUCCCCAUAGAAGGUAACCCACCACACUCCCCUGUAUAUACCUUUUUAUUUUUGCAUAUUAGUCUUCUUUUCGGUAUCUCUCUCUCUACUUGACAACACAGAGACUGUGUAACUCAAGUUUGGGGGAGGUACCAAGUAUUUGAUCAUGUUUGCUUUGAUGUUGUUUCAUUGAGUCAUGCAUGGCAUACCUAUUUGCAUAGAUAAAAAAAAAAUCAAUCAUUUAGUUUGCAUCAUUUGCAUUUUUAGGAGAGUCUAGAGCAUAUAGGUUGCAUUCACUUGCAUUGGGAGCAAUGAUUUUGAAUGCCUUGUAAAGAACACUACGUUGCACCUGAGUAGCUUUUGCACCUCUCAAAAAGACUUGUAUGUUUCGAGCCUUGAAAACUCUUCCUGAAACUUGUUGAUUGCUGAAACUCAGUCUUUGAAGCCAACUACAACCUUAUUUGAACUGAACGAACUUAAUGCUUCUUGCUCAUGGUCCCUUGUGUACUGAGUCAUGGCUAUAUACACUUGAGUUGUCACAUCUUUUAUACCAAUUUUUUUUGACAAACUCUAGUGGUAGACCACUCCCAAAACCUUUUCCUCCUUUUAAGCUUUCAUUGUUUGAUGAGUGAGGCCUUUUUCGGAAAGUCUUACAUGUGCAUAAUGUUGAGAGUAUCGGGAACGACAAUGCUUGAUCUUCAUUCUUGCUAGAUUGGGCACUCUAUUGUCUAGCUAUAGGUGGGGGUGAGUGUUGUGAUUAUGACUUGGGAGAAAUGAAAAAGGAAAAGAAUAGACUCUUUGUGCUUAAGUGAAUUGUUCUAUUGGGACCAGUAUAGAAGCCUCUAGCUCAAGUUUUGAAAAGUCUUGGCCCCCAGCCUAAAAAAAAAAGGGAAAAAGAAAAACGAAAAAAAAAAAAAGAGAAAAGAAAAAAAAAAGAAAAAAAAGAAAAGAAAAAGGGGGCUAGCAAAGUUGUUAGGAGCUAAGAAAUGUUUUGAGGUUGUGAAAAAUCCCUUGUAGAUUUCAAAGAGAAGAAGUUAAAGUUCUUAGGAUCUUUUGGUGAGAGAUGUGAGUUGGGUUUGACAUUUGGGAAUGAUUGUGUAAUUGUAUGUUUGGGAAAAGGGUAGAACAAUGGAGAUUGAGCAUUGUAUGCAUGAGUUGGUCCAUUUCUUAGAUAUAUUAUGUGCAAUGUCAAGGCUACUUGUUUUGAGAGUAAACCACCUUAAAGAUCAUAUGUUUUGAACCUCUUGAAUCACUUGAAUAAAAGCUUUCCCUUAUCCAACCAAAUGACUUGGACCAACUGACCAUUUGCAAGAAUUCACCUGAUGUUUUGUGCUUAAUGAAUGUGAGAGUUGGUUGAUUUGAAUGUGUGGAUGCUUGAUGAUGAGUGUAAGAACAAAAAGAGUUAAGAUAGGCCUAGAGAAGCUAGAGUGUAAUAAGAGAGUGUGCUAGUUGUGUUUCUUUUGGCUAUGUGCUCCCUCCUUCAACCUCUCUCCCUAUGAGUUCUAGAAAGUUCACUUGUGGACAAGUAAAAGAACAAGUUUGGGGGAGUUGAUAUCUUGCAUAUUUGCAUUGUUUUAUCCAUUCAUCCAUUAGCAUUUUCAUCAUAUAGAUUAGGAUUUAGCCAUGUCUAGGUUGCAUUUUGCAUUCAUUGUCCUCAUUAGGUGUUGGAGUGCCACAUGGAGUUCUUGGGGACAUUUGGAUGCAUUUGGAGCUUAAAGGACGUGAAACAGGUGAUCAUUGGACGAGCAGAGCAUGGGAGCGAGGUUCCGCAGCGACAUCAUGAGGUCGCUCCAAAGCACCUCUCAGAGCGACCUAGCUAGAGCGACCCCGUGAAGUCGCUCGCCAUAUUCAUCCCGUUGGAAGCCCAGAGCGACUUGCCCAAAGCGACGCACCGAGGUCGUUCGCAUCUCACACCCCUCUCGGAGCGACCUCCCAAAGCGACACCCCGAGGUCGCUCGCGUCUCUAUGGCGAGACGACAAGAAGCGAAGCCCGGAGUGACCUCUCAGAGCGACCCACUGAGGUCGCUCCCGAAGGCCGGAGCGACUUGUCGGAGCGACAUGCCGAGGUCGCUCCGCGUCUAUUGUUGGGUCGAUUUCUAUUUUACUUAAGGGCCUUUUGGUCAUUUCAUUAUGCACGUUUUACAUUUCUAAAACCUAUGUUUUAAACAUCUUUUGUAGCCACCAGAGGCAGAUUAUCUUUUAUCUUUUGAUCUAUUGAGAAAUACACAAGAACUCUCUUGAGAAGUUCAUCUCUUGGGUUUUGAUUUGUUAUGUUCUUGUGUUGAUUUCUUAUCUAUUUCUUACAUGAUUAAUCUGAAAUCCAAUAUGGGUUUAAGAGGAAUCAUGGAGAUUAGUGAGUAAUCACCUUUUGAAUUCAUGGGUUAGGGAGAUUAAGGGUGAUUAGGUUAGAGCUAGGAUGUUUUAGUGUAGAUCAUUCAUAUUUCCUUGCUAGUAGAGUAAUCAUAAUGCAUCUUCUGAGUUGGCCACUCAGUUGUUGAUCCUUAGGCAUUUCUCACCCGAAAGGUGUUCGAUGAAAUGCCCGAGACAACUCUCCUAGGCUUUUAGUAUACUUUGCCAAAGACAUUUGUUGUUAAAGUGCUAAGAUAGCUAAUAGACUUGUUAGUAAUGAUUGCUUUCAUAUUAUUCAACCAAAGACAUUUGAUGUUUGAGAUGUGUUAGCAAAUGAGCAUUCAUCUAGACAUAGAGCUUGCUUAGAAUUGUGUCUAGGCUUAAGGUUGAUAGUUUGAUUGAUCAUUUGCCAUCCUUAGUUCGAUACUUGAUCACCAAGGUCUAAUCCCUAUGCCCAUGAGUUCUCUUUUCCCUUAGUCAAGAAAGUAUCAUUCUGUUAUUGCUUUUUAGUUUUAGUCAUAGCUUAAAACCCAUCUAAAUCAUUGGUUGCACUUAGAUUAAGUGAGUACUUGCAUUCUCAGUGCUUUGAUAUCCCUCAGAACUGGUUCGACAAUC